UACAGAAACAUUUGUCAGCUGUCCCUCCGCUGUCUGAGACCUCGCCAGAGCAUGAGCAGACAGGCCAUCGGCUCAAGGGUGCAUGGGCCCUCUAUGGACACGGCAUGAACACUGCAUACAUAGAUUGCAUCUUAAAAGCUUUUGACUGAAUUUGCUUGCGCCCUGCCUCCUCUGCCCAUGGUUCCAUUCUUCAUCACUGUGGACCAUCUCCUUGACCUUCCUGUAACAUAAUUUGGGGCUCAGCGGGGAUUCCAAGGGAAGGCUGUCGAACUUCUUAUGGUCAUGCAGAUGGAGCCCACCGUGGAGAUCCACCUGAUUCUAUCAUGGGACCUAUACUUUUUAAAUAUUAUACUCCUACAAUGUUUAAAUGGGAAAGAUUGAUAUAUUUGAUAUUCUAGAAAUGAGAACAACUCUGUAUGUUUAAAAGUAUUAUAAAAAGC
Molecule: long non-coding RNA, 440 nt
Organism: Heterocephalus glaber (naked mole-rat)
Lineage: Eukaryota; Metazoa; Chordata; Mammalia; Rodentia; Bathyergidae
Source: RefSeq, a predicted model, not a curated record